AAUCUACUCCCUCCAAUCCAAAUUACUUGUCGCAGCUUUGUCUGGAUACGCAUGUAUCUUGAUUCGUUUCAUUGUGUAGAUACAUGCGUAUCUAGACAAAACAGUGACAAGUAAUGUGGAUCGGAGGGACUAUAAA
Brachypodium distachyon (stiff brome) is the source of this 136-nucleotide non-coding RNA. The record is from Rfam. NCBI's taxonomy places the organism in Eukaryota, Viridiplantae, Streptophyta, Magnoliopsida, Poales, Poaceae.